UUGGGGCCUUUGAGGCUUUAGUGGCGCAGCUAACGCGAUAAGUAGACCGCCUGGGGAGUACGGUCGCAAGACUAAAACUCAAAUGAAUUGACGGGGGCCCGCACAAGCGGUGGAGCAUGUGGUUUAAUUCGAUGCAACGCGAAGAACCUUACCUGGCCUUGACAUACUAGAAACUUUCCAGAGAUGGAUUGGUGCCUUCGGGAAUCUAGAUACAGGUGCUGCAUGGCUGUCGUCAGCUCGUGUCGUGAGAUGUUGGGUUAAGUCCCGCAACGAGCGCAACCCUUUUCCUUACUUGCCAGCAUUUCGGAUGGGAACUUUAAGGAUACUGCCAGUGACAAACUGGAGGAAGGCGGGGACGACGUCAAGUCAUCAUGGCCCUUACGGCCAGGGCUACACACGUGCUACAAUGGUCGGUACAAAGGGUUGCUACACAGCGAUGUGAUGCUAAUCUCAAAAAGCCGAUCGUAGUCCGGAUUGGAGUCUGCAACUCGACUCCAUGA
Molecule: ribosomal RNA, 500 nt
Filed under: Acinetobacter baumannii
Lineage: Bacteria; Pseudomonadati; Pseudomonadota; Gammaproteobacteria; Moraxellales; Moraxellaceae
Description: bacterial SSU rRNA
Rfam family: Bacterial small subunit ribosomal RNA
Source: RNAcentral